UUGAGCCUUGGGUUGCUGCCUUGCAGGGUCCGUAUUAACAGGAAGCUGGAAUUGGGAGUGGAGCCCACACUCCAACCCAGAUGUCCCCAUUUGGGAUGGGGGAAUCCCACUGUGCUAAACACCCAUCCCAAUCUCAAGGCAGUUUUUAAAGCUGUUUUUAGAAAUAGUUCUUUGACUUGAAGUAGUUAGGGAUUGGUGACCUGGCUCUUCCAUACUUACUGCUUAUAUCUGUGGGCCGUUUAACUACAUUAAACCUCAGGUUUUCCUAAUUAACACUGGGACAAUAUACUUGUCCUCAUGUUGUUGUGAUCUGUAACAUAUAUUAAGUAGCAAGAUGAAAUUAGUAUACUAUUGGCAGCAGGAUAAAAUACCAGUGAUUACCUAGUAAAUGGGCCUGUCACCAACUAAUACAUCAGAUUUGCUGAUUUUUUGUUUGUUUGUUUUUUUGGUAAUUUCUCAGAUUCCUCCUUCAUUUCUGAUUCCGCAGUUGUCAUUUUGCACACCGAAUAAUGGGGAGUCACAUUGAUACUGUUGCCAUGAGGACUUUUUUUAAGCUAGUAAAUGUGCAUCUGUUUCUGAUUUCAGAUUUCUUCUUGUGCUGAAAUUCUAUGAUGUGUAGGUUUAUGACUUUACGUGCCUGCAUGUGCUUCUUUCACUCAUCCUGUACAUCAGUGCUGGAAAAAAUCCCUUUCUAAAAUGAUUUAGGACUCAAUUGCUUUUAGUGGAGCCUCUCUGUGAACAGUUAUCAGAUAUAAACCAUGUAAGUGGAUUUUUAAAAUUUUUCUUCCUAGAAAAUUUGCUGUACAGGUGACAUGAAGAAAUGCCUUGUAAACUAUAAAAUGCCAUAUAGGUGAAGAAAAUAUUAUAAUCAUCCAUAGAUAAUUUUGCUUCUUUGCUUUUACAUAUUUCAUUUUCUUUAUUUAAAUUGCAUUUCUGUUUCCUUGAUGUUUCUUACCUUCAGAAGCAGAAUCAAAGCAGGCAUGUUUUCCAGAAAGCUUGAUUUUACCAUUCUCUUAGCAUCAGUUACUCACUUCUGUGGAAUAUAUCAUCUUACCUUCCUUUCAUCCACCCAUCUCAGAGCCUCAUUUUAGCAUAUGAGAAUGCUUCAAGAAGUUCAUGCAAAUGCCUGUUUUGAAAAAGAACUGCAUGGGUUUCUAAGUUUUUGCACAAAAUAAUUUUUAAAAAUUGUAAAAGUUCUUUCCUGAACUUUCUGUUGCAUGUUGACUUUUUCCUUGUUCGAUUGGACAGUCCCGAGAUGGCAUGAGCCGUAGCAUUCAGAGUGGAGGUGCUUUCAGGGUCAUUCAGAACAACCCCAUGGGCCUGCAGGGGAGGUACCCAAGUCUGGGGACCUGGAUUUGGCUUUGGGGCUUCAUUAGGAGACUCAGCUUUUCUAUUUGAAAGUUAUUAUUAGGAGAUUUAAUAUCGUCAGAAUCUUGGUAAUUUUUUGAGUAAUGUGUAAGCUCAGAAAAAAAAAGUAUAUUUUAAUUUUUGACCAAAAAUUGACUCUCAAAUAUUGUAAAUAGAGUAUUAACCAGGAAUUAAUUGGGCUCAUUCUCAAAAAACUGCUGAAGUACCUGGCGAGAAGUAUCUGUUUUCCUGUAGGGCCUGCAUUUGCAGUUAGCAAAUAUUGAUUGAGCACUGUGUCUUCCACAGGUGCUAUGCUAACUCUGCGCCUCUUGUGUUUUAUAAACAAGCAGGCAUGGCUGAGAGAAGCCUCCCAGAGCUCGCGUUGGUGAUGACUGUUGAAUGGUUGUUGAAACGUUGACCAGGCACGUAGGACCAGGAUGUCCAGAUCCACGUUCAUCCACAAGGCUUGGAUUUCCUCCAGUUUAACUUAUAAAGUCGUUGAUCCUGAAGUUUGUGCCCCUUGGGCUUUCUUUCUGAAGGCAAUC
This is a long non-coding RNA of Ochotona curzoniae (black-lipped pika), 1892 nucleotides long. RefSeq lists it as uncharacterized. The transcript has 2 exons. The record is from RefSeq and is a predicted model, not a curated record. Lineage: Eukaryota; Metazoa; Chordata; Mammalia; Lagomorpha; Ochotonidae.